This 569-nucleotide long non-coding RNA is filed under the name Mytilus galloprovincialis (Mediterranean mussel). Lineage: Eukaryota; Metazoa; Mollusca; Bivalvia; Mytilida; Mytilidae. The record is from RNAcentral.
ACCAAAAUGACACAGACAUUAACAACUAUAGGUCACCGUACGGCCUUCAACAAUGAGCAAAGCCCAAACCGCAUAGUCAGCUAUAAAAGGCCCGGAUAAGACAAUGUAAAACAAUUCAAACGAGAAAACUAACGGCCUUAUUUAUGUAAAAAAAAGAACAAAAAACAAAUAUGUAACACAUAAACAAACGACAACCACUGAAUUACAGGCUCCUGACUUGGGACAGGCACAUACAUAAAUAAUGUGGUGGGGUUAAACAUGUUAGCGGGAUCCCAACCCUCCCCCUAACCUGGGACAGUGGUAUAACAGUACAACAUAAGAACGAACUAUAAAAAUCAAUUGAAAAUGGCUUAACUCAUCAGAUGGACAAAUAUACAAGUGGACGUGGGCCGGUAUGUAUAUUUAUAUAUUGGGGAUUUAUUUUUGUUUCCAAACAGAAUUCUAAGGUUAUGUAUAAGUGCCUCCGUUCACUGCACAAUUGUAAAUUGUCUUCCUAAAGACCAGCAAAAAUAAAUGGCACAAGUUCACGUAGUCAUAAAAGAAGUCGUAUAAUUUACGAUAAAUCGAAC